CAGUAGCCACGGGAAUACGUAGGGUGCGAGCGUUAAUCGGAAUUACUGGGCGUAAAGCGUGCGCAGGCGGCUUUGCAAGACAGAUGUGAAAUCCCCGGGCUCAACCUGGGAACUGCAUUUGUGACUGCAAGGCUAGAGUGCGGCAGAGGGAGAUGGAAUUCCGCGUGUAGCAGUGAAAUGCGUAGAUAUGCGGAGGAACACCGAUGGCGAAGGCAAUCUCCUGGGCCUGCACUGACGCUCAUGCACGAAAGCGUGGGGAGCAAACUGGAUUAGAUACCCGGGUAGUCCCUGUCUCUUAUAC
This 301-nucleotide ribosomal RNA is filed under the name uncultured bacterium. RNAcentral describes it as "partial 16S ribosomal RNA". It matches the Rfam family "Bacterial small subunit ribosomal RNA", at positions 509 to 807 of the family's 1533-position model. The record is from RNAcentral.